This 72-nucleotide transfer RNA is filed under the name bacterium. RNAcentral describes it as "tRNA-Arg". It matches the Rfam family "tRNA". Rfam says of the family: Transfer RNA (tRNA) molecules are approximately 80 nucleotides in length. Their secondary structure includes four short double-helical elements and three loops (D, anti-codon, and T loops). Further hydrogen bonds mediate the characteristic L-shaped molecular structure. tRNAs have two regions of fundamental functional importance: the anti-codon, which is responsible for specific mRNA codon recognition, and the 3' end, to which the tRNAs corresponding amino acid is attached (by aminoacyl-tRNA synthetases). tRNAs cope with the degeneracy of the genetic code in two manners: having more than one tRNA (with a specific anti-codon) for a particular amino acid; and 'wobble' base-pairing, i.e. permitting non-standard base-pairing at the 3rd anti-codon position. The record is from RNAcentral.
GCCCCCGUGGUGAAAUGGAUAUCACGACGGCCUUCGAAGCCGUUAUUGUGGGUUCGAGUCCUGCCGGGGGCA